UCCCUUGUGACUCAGCUGGUAAAGAAUCUGCCUGCAAUGCAGGAGACCUGGGUUCAAUCCCUGGCUUUGGAA
This 72-nucleotide transfer RNA is filed under the name Bos taurus (domestic cattle). It matches the Rfam family "tRNA". From Rfam's summary of the family: Transfer RNA (tRNA) molecules are approximately 80 nucleotides in length. Their secondary structure includes four short double-helical elements and three loops (D, anti-codon, and T loops). Further hydrogen bonds mediate the characteristic L-shaped molecular structure. tRNAs have two regions of fundamental functional importance: the anti-codon, which is responsible for specific mRNA codon recognition, and the 3' end, to which the tRNAs corresponding amino acid is attached (by aminoacyl-tRNA synthetases). tRNAs cope with the degeneracy of the genetic code in two manners: having more than one tRNA (with a specific anti-codon) for a particular amino acid; and 'wobble' base-pairing, i.e. permitting non-standard base-pairing at the 3rd anti-codon position. The record is from Rfam by way of RNAcentral. RNAcentral also lists the same sequence under 4 other names. Lineage: Eukaryota; Metazoa; Chordata; Mammalia; Artiodactyla; Bovidae.